Molecule: ribosomal RNA, 468 nt
Filed under: uncultured bacterium
Lineage: Bacteria
Description: partial 16S ribosomal RNA
Rfam family: Bacterial small subunit ribosomal RNA
Source: RNAcentral
GACGAACGCUGGCGGCGUGCUUAACACAUGCAAGUCGAACGGAAAGGCCCUGCUUUUGUGGGGUGCUCGAGUGGCGAACGGGUGAGUAACACGUGAGUAACCUGCCCUUGACUUUGGGAUAACUUCAGGAAACUGGGGCUAAUACCGGAUAGGAGCUCCUGCUGCAUGGUGGGGGUUGGAAAGUUUCGGCGGUUGGGGAUGGACUCGCGGCUUAUCAGCUUGUUGGUGGGGUAGUGGCUUACCAAGGCUUUGACGGGUAGCCGGCCUGAGAGGGUGACCGGCCACAUUGGGACUAGAAUACGGCCCAGACUCCUACGGGAGGCAGCAGUGGGGAAUAUUGCACAAUGGGCGGAAGCCUGAUGCAGCAACGCCGCGUGCGGGAUGACGGCCUUCGGGUUGUAAACCGCUUUCGCCUGUGACGAAGCGUGAGUGACGGUAAUGGGUAAAGAAGCACCGGCUAACUACGUG